AUUUGGGCUCAGGGUCUUCAGUAAACCUGUAGACACUGAUGUUAGCUUUAAUUCGAUAUAUCGUUUAGGUUAUUCGGAUAAGUAAGGUGAUCGUAACGAUUGUUCGAAUAAGCUGUGACAGCAAGACAUUCGUAACAAAUGUUUCAAGAAAUUGACUAUGUGAUAUAGUGGAAUAAUACGAUUAUAUUAGCAUUUGGAAUCUUGUUAAGUGAUGAAUAUGUUUAUAGGUGUCGAGCGCACUAAAGCUCUCAUUCAAGACUUGAGCAUGACUCGAGAAUAAGGUGUUCUUAUAGCACUUGCAUUGGACUUCAGGUGAGGAUCCCUAUCCCUUGCCUAUUCCUUCUGGAAAAAUAGGAUAUAUGCCGAGCACUCGUAUCGUUCGGUUUAUUAUUGUUAUUACUCGUCGUUUAUCAAUAUAUAUUUAUUGUCACCUAUCUCGUGAACUAAUUUGAUUUCCGAGAAUUAUUAAUUCUUGAGCUAUUGAAAUCUUUGAUCGAUUCGAAAUCCUCUUCAUGGAACUUAAUAAGUUCUCAUCUUGAUUCGGGAAUUAUUCGAGUAAUUUCUCAUCCCGAUUCCUUGAUUUCUCAAUUGAGUUCUUUUAUCGACUUGAAUAAUUCAACGAG
RNAcentral lists this long non-coding RNA (623 nucleotides) under Erythranthe guttata (spotted monkey flower). Its description in RNAcentral is "long non-coding RNA (EGUT_LNC002345)". The record is from RNAcentral. Lineage: Eukaryota; Viridiplantae; Streptophyta; Magnoliopsida; Lamiales; Phrymaceae.